AGUGGGGAAUAUUGCACAAUGGGGGAAACCCCGAUGCAGCCAUGCCGCGUGUGUGAAGAAGGCCUUCGGGUUGUAAAGCACUUUCAGUAAGGAGGAAAGGUUAACGAUUAAUACUCGUUAGCUGUGACGUUACUUACAGAAGAAGGACCGGCUAACUCCGUGCCAGCAGCCGCGGUAAUACGGAGGGUCCGAGCGUUAAUCGGAAUUACUGGGCGUAAAGCGUGCGCAGGCGGUUUGUUAAGCCAGAUGUGAAAUCCCCGGGCUCAACCUGGGAAUUGCAUUUGGAACUGGCGAACUAGAGUCUUGUAGAGGGGGGUAGAAUUCCAGGUGUAGCGGUGAAAUGCGUAGAGAUCUGGAGGAAUACCGGUGGCGAAGGCGGCCCCCUGGACAAAGACUGACGCUCAUGCACGAAAGCGUGGGGAGCAAACAGGAUUAGAUACCCUGGUAGUCCACGCCGUAAACGAUGUCUACUCGGAGUUUGGUGUCUUGAACACUGGGCUCUCAAGCUAACGCAUUAAGUAGACCGCCUGGGGAGUACGGCCGCAAGGUUA
RNAcentral lists this ribosomal RNA (551 nucleotides) under uncultured bacterium. RNAcentral describes it as "bacterial SSU rRNA". It matches the Rfam family "Bacterial small subunit ribosomal RNA", at positions 353 to 896 of the family's 1533-position model. The record is from RNAcentral.